CCUACGGGAGGCAGCAGUAAGGAAUAUUGGUCAAUGGGCGCAAGCCUGAACCAGCCAUGCCGCGUGCAGGAAGACGGCCCUAUGGGUUGUAAACUGCUUUUGAACAAGAGAAAACCUCGGUACGUGUACCGAGCUGAUAGUAUUGUUAGAAUAAGCAUCGGCUAACUUCGUGCCAGCAGCCGCGGUAAGACGAAGGAUGCAAGCGUUAUCCGGAUUCAUUGGGUUUAAAGGGUGCGUAGGCGGCCUGAUAAGUCAGUGGUGAAAUCUCUCAGCUUAACUGAGAAACUGCCAUUGAUACUGUCGGGCUUGAGUACAGAUGAUGUGGGCGGAAUAUGACAUGUAGUGGUGAAAUACUUAGAUAUGUCAUAGAACACCGAUUGCGAAGGCGGCUCACAAACUGUAACUGACGCUGAGGCACGAAAGUGCGGGGGAUCAAACAGGAUUAGAUACCCUGGUAGUCCGCACCGUAAACGAUGAUUACUCGUUGUUGGCAAUAUGACCGUCACGCGACCGACGACGAACGACGAGUAAGUAACUACCACCCGUACGGGGUAGGUACGGACCCGGCCGACCGGUACGGUAACGUACGAAACGGUAAAGUUAGUACGGACGUUGAGACGACGCCGACGGACGACCGACCGACGGGAGGGUAGGGAG
This 657-nucleotide ribosomal RNA is filed under the name uncultured bacterium. Its description in RNAcentral is "bacterial SSU rRNA". The stretch from base 1 to 540 matches the Rfam family "Bacterial small subunit ribosomal RNA", at positions 338 to 873 of the family's 1533-position model. The record is from RNAcentral.